AUGCGCCCCCAACCACUGGGCUAUGCCCACGUCCUCAGACCCACACAAAUGUCCUCAGAGAAAUAUGGGGCAGGGCAUGGAAAAACCAAGAAACGUGACCGUGACGAUGGGUUUGCUGCAAUUGAGGAGAAGAUGAUGGAGGAUCCAUCCAGCAUUACGAAGUGUAUCAGAACAAUCGAAAAGUUACAAGAUCUGCAAGUAGAUGAUAUUUUAGUGGCAGCAGAUAUCUUCAAAACUAAGGAGAACAGGGAAGUUUUCUUAUCCUUCUCUAGAGAUGAUCUUCGCUUGGCUUGGAUUAGAAGGGAGAUUGCGCGCAGCCAGCCAUACAAUUGGAAUUAG
RNAcentral lists this ribosomal RNA (339 nucleotides) under Triticum aestivum (bread wheat). RNAcentral's name for it is "partial small subunit ribosomal RNA". The record is from RNAcentral. Lineage: Eukaryota; Viridiplantae; Streptophyta; Magnoliopsida; Poales; Poaceae.